This 209-nucleotide ribosomal RNA is filed under the name Trypanosoma noyesi. RNAcentral describes it as "partial small subunit ribosomal RNA". It matches the Rfam family "Eukaryotic small subunit ribosomal RNA", at positions 394 to 594 of the family's 1831-position model. Lineage: Eukaryota; Euglenozoa; Kinetoplastea; Trypanosomatida; Trypanosomatidae. The record is from RNAcentral.
GCNUGAGAAAUAGCUACCACUUCUACGGAGGGCAGCAGGCGCGCAAAUUGCCCAAUGUCAAAAAAAAACGAUGAGGCAGCGAAAAGAAAUAGAGCCGACAGUGCAUUUUGUAUUGUCGUUUUCAAUGGGGGAUAUUUAAACCCAUCCNAAAAUCGAGUAACAAUUGGAGGACAAGUCUGGUGCCAGCACCCGCGGUANUCCANCNNNNA